UGCCAGACUCCUACGGGAGGCAGCAGUGGGGAAUAUUGCACAAUGGGGGAAACCCUGAUGCAGCGACGCCGCGUGAGCGAUGAAGUAUUUCGGUAUGUAAAGCUCUAUCAGCAGGGAAGAAGAUGACGGUACCUGACUAAGAAGCCCCGGCUAACUACGUGCCAGCAGCCGCGGUAAUACGUAGGGGGCAAGCGUUAUCCGGAUUUACUGGGUGUAAAGGGAGCGUAGACGGCGAUGCAAGCCAGAUGUGAAAGCCCGGGGCUCAACCCCGGGACUGCAUUUGGAACUGUGUGGCUGGAGUGUCGGAGAGGCAGGCGGAAUUCCUAGUGUAGCGGUGAAAUGCGUAGAUAUUAGGAGGAACACCAGUGGCGAAGGCGGCCUGCUGGACGAUGACUGACGUUGAGGCUCGAAAGCGUGGGGAGCAAACAGGAUUAGAUACCCCUGUAGU
RNAcentral lists this ribosomal RNA (448 nucleotides) under uncultured bacterium. Its description in RNAcentral is "bacterial SSU rRNA". It matches the Rfam family "Bacterial small subunit ribosomal RNA", at positions 329 to 794 of the family's 1533-position model. The record is from RNAcentral.